CAUAUCAAGCUUUUAAUUGAAGAGUUUGAUUAUGGCCCAGAUUGAACGCUGGCGGUAGGCCUAACACAUGCAAGUCGAGCGGAAG
This 85-nucleotide ribosomal RNA is filed under the name Serratia fonticola. Its description in RNAcentral is "partial 16S ribosomal RNA". The record is from RNAcentral. Lineage: Bacteria; Pseudomonadati; Pseudomonadota; Gammaproteobacteria; Enterobacterales; Yersiniaceae.